Molecule: long non-coding RNA, 1063 nt
Organism: Poecile atricapillus (Black-capped chickadee)
Lineage: Eukaryota; Metazoa; Chordata; Aves; Passeriformes; Paridae
Exons: 4
Source: RefSeq, a predicted model, not a curated record
CUCGUCUUCAUUCUCACCCGGCUCAUCUCAUUCCGCGUUCUCUCGGUCCUUGCGGCCGUUCUUGUGGCCCAGAGUUUUGUCUCCCCGUUGUGUCCCCUCGUCUGUUGUCUUGUGUGUCACGGGUGUCUGGGUGUAGUUGUCCCGGAGCUGCUCUGUCCUGCUGCCCAGCCUGGGUGUAGGUGUAAAAGGCCGAGUCCUAGGCCCCUGUAAUUUGAAAUUUGUCAUGUAGGGUGUAGUUGGAGUCUAGCGGGUGUUCCUAGAUUGACACAAGAUGCGUGGAGCUGUAAAGUUACCCUGCAGCACUUUGACUUUUGUCUCAGCUUUCUUUCAGAUGCGGACGGAUAAAAUCGGUGGCAGAGCGCCCCAUCCAGGGUAAGGGGGUUCCCGCGAGAAGGUAAGUCAAUGUUUGUCUUUGCAGGGCAACUGGAACCGGUCACUGUGUUACAGGUCUCCUCUUUGUGUUUAUUUUUAGGAAGUAGAGCCAGCUGGCAGCAGUCAAGGCGAAGUGGGCAAGGCGGUCCAGUCGCAUUUCCCCGAGACCCCCUCGCCAACCGGCCGGCACAGCUGCUUCGCCGCUCCCGUGAGCCCUGCGGAAGCGUUAUGGAACCGUGUGACGCAGCCUUUUCCACGUAAAGGGGCCGUGUGGGUGGCCUUCAGGAACGGGCCGAGGGGUUGCCGCGCGCCCUGUGACGACGGCGUCCAGCUCCCGGCGCGGCCGAAGCGCGCGGCCUCAGGAUGCGGCCGUGCGCAGGAGACCCUGACCGAGAGACGGCAGCCUGGCGAUGGCAGGAACUUCCCAGAUGGCGAGGCGGCCUUCCUUGGCGCUCCAUGUGGAUCCUCCCCGCUAGGCAUCCGAGAGCUGAGUCGGAGGCUGCGAAUUGCAGAGGGGCUGAAAUCGGGGUGCCGGGUCGGGACUCUGGACCUGGGGUUAUGGAGUCAGCUUUGGGGACGGGGAGGUCCAGGCUGUGGCCCCUUAGGCCACGUGAAGGGAGAGCCUCACAUUUGUUCACAGUGCUGAGGUGUGCAGGACAGAGCAGUCCCGGGGCGUGUCCCAUCACUUGUC